GGAGGAGGCGCCCGACCCGGGCUGGCGGGGCUUCGGUCGCCGGUUUGACUAAAUCCGCUCGGCUGGAGCUGGAUCCGCGGUCAGCCGAGGCCGGUAGGCCGCACCCUGCGCCUCCACCGUGACCCGACCCUCUGCGUGGUGACUUCGGGCUCGUCUCGCGAGGAUCUAGCUGCAAAGGAUCCCGAAGCUUCUUUGCCCCAUCUGGACCUAGAAACGAGCUGAUUUUUUAAAACCCAGAUUCUUGGUGUAUUUGGACACAAUGAAUACUGUGCCUUUCAUAUUUUCUUUGUAUUUCUCCAUAGUUGCUUGACCCAACAUCUGUCUGCUCUAUACAAUGAAGAUACAAACUAAAUGAGAAUAGAAAAAAAUAAUUAAAGCAUUAAAUUGUACAAAUUACAAAUCUGUUCCAAAAUAUACUUACAUUAAAUAAAAUACGCAUUUCAGUAAGA
Capra hircus (goat) is the source of this 449-nucleotide long non-coding RNA. RefSeq lists it as uncharacterized. The transcript is spliced from 2 exons. NCBI's taxonomy places the organism in Eukaryota, Metazoa, Chordata, Mammalia, Artiodactyla, Bovidae. The record is from RefSeq and is a predicted model, not a curated record.